GAUGAAGAACGUAGCGAAAUGCGAUAAGUAAUGUGAAUUGCAGAAUUCAGUGAAUCAUCGAAUCUUUGAACGCACAUUGCGCCCAUUAGUAUUCUAGUGGGCAUGCCUGUUCGAGCGUCAUAUCAACCCUCAAGCCUUAGUUGCUUGGUGUUGGGAGCUUAUCUUGCCGAAAGGCGGGACAACUCCUUAAAUUUAUCGGCGGAGUCGCGGUGACCCCAAGCGUAGUAAAUUAUUUUUUCCUCGCUUUAGGUGUUAACGCUGGCUUUUCUAGCCGUUAAACCCCCCCUAAUAUUUUAAUGGUUGACCUCGGAUCAGGUAGGACUACCCGCUGAACUUAAGCAUAUCAAUAAGCGGAGGA
RNAcentral lists this unclassified non-coding RNA (358 nucleotides) under soil metagenome. RNAcentral's name for it is "partial contains 5.8S ribosomal RNA, internal transcribed spacer 2, and large subunit ribosomal RNA". The stretch from base 1 to 120 matches the Rfam family "5.8S ribosomal RNA", at positions 35 to 154 of the family's 154-position model. The record is from RNAcentral.